CAUCUCUCUCUCUAUUUCUCCCGAUUAGGGUUUCGCGGCUCCAUUUUCAAAGCAUCCGAAAAAGAUCGACCAUGUAAAAGUGUUCACAUCACACCAGCAAUUGAGGCCCAAAUUUGAAGUUUGAAUUCGCGAAGAAGAAUGGAGGUGGCCCAAAUUGUGGUAUCUGGAUCCAGUCCGGCCUGUUAACGCUUUCGGUUUCCGCAUCUCUUUUUGUUCUUCGUCUCCCUCGUGAAGCUUUGCACAUCCCCACAUACCAGCAAGUGCAGCGCCGCUUCUUCCGGCCGCCGUCUCAGCUGUUACCGUCGCCGCACAUUGCACUCUCAUCUUUCGACGAAAUAUCCGCCGCCCUCCCUCUCACAAAAUCUCUCGCCCUUCGAGCUAUCAGAGUUGCUUCUCUCUGUUCUUCUUUCUCUCGGAAACACGGUGGUUCAGAACCUUGCUGUUGUUGAUAUUGGCCGCCGACGUUCAUCUUUCAGAUCCUCAAGAUGACUAGGUAGCUGUCUGAUUGUUGCAAAACCACUACAUCGAUUCUUUUAGUGGUGCCCCGUUAAUAUGGCAAUCUCAGUUUCGAGAAGGCUGCUGCGCUCUGUGGGGUCCUUAUCAACGUUUGGACAAUGUAAUUCUUCAUGUACUAUGAGUCGGUCAUUUUCUAAUCCCCAUGAAAUUUAUGGCCAUGUUAGUGGGAGUAGCUCUACGUUUGCAAGCCGUUCUACUCUUUUGAAGGCUGGAUCCUUUCUUGCUUCCCGAGGGUUUUGCACCUCAAUUUUGACUCCUGAAUCAAGCAAUAAUGCAUUUCCUUCUGAGUUACUGUCUGCUAAGCCGGUGGCAUCCGAAGAGCGCAAGAUAGGGCUUUAUCAGGACCUGAUGAUUCCUGUGACAAACUUUGAAAAUGAAGACAAAGGCUUCAUGGUCUUGGCUGGAGAUGUUUUUGACCUUCCAAUCAGGAAGGACAUCAUUCAUCGGGUUGUUAGAUGGCAGCUUGCAAAGAGACAGCAGGGAACACAUUCGACAAAAACAAUUAGUGAGGUUAGCGGAACAGGGAGAAAGCCAUGGAAACAAAAAGGUACUGGGAGAGCAAGACAUGGAACAUUGCGUGGUCCCCAGUUCAGAGGUGGUGCAACUAUGCAUGGACCCAAACCACGAAGUCAUGCCUUUAAGCUUAAUAAGAAAGUUCGUCGCUUGGGUUUGAUGAUUGCUCUUUCAGCUCGUGUUGCAGAAGGAAAGUUGCUUCUGAAACCUCAUUUUGGGAAGUUUUUAACUUGCAGCUUCUGGUAUUUGAUAAUUUGGACGUCACUACGCAUAAGACGAAGAAUAUGGUGAAAUAUGUCAGUAAAAUGGAGAAUACCAAAAAAGUAUUACUAGUUGAUGGUGGUCCCAUAGAUGAGAAGCUGAAGUUGGCCACGCAAAACCUUCAUUAUGUCAACGUUUUGCCAUCUAUUGGUUUGAAUGUUUACAGCAUUCUUCUACACGAUACUCUUGUGAUGUCUCGUGAUGCUGUAGAAAGAAUUGUUACCCGGAUGCACACUCCAAUCAACCGCUGAAGCCGCAGUGCAUUUCUCCUGAAUUAUAUGUUCAACUUCAGUUUUAGCUCAGAUCAGCAAUAACCUUUAUUGAUGUUUCCCCCCUUUUGUUGCAGGAAGGGGUGAAAACCUGUUUGUUGUUUCCGUUAAAAUAUUGAUCACACUGGAGUUUGAAAUUUCACUUGUACUGAUCAAAGACAUCAGAUAGUAAGUUUUGAAGCUGUAGUUUGUGGUGUUCGAAAAUAACAAAAAGAACCUUUCUUACUGCCAGAUUGUCAAGUUCUGCAAAUUUUUCUUUUACAAAUCAAAAUUUUUCUGUUUUGAUUC
RNA transcript from Cucumis sativus (cucumber), 1847 nucleotides. It is a transcript of the gene named 50S ribosomal protein L4, with no coding region annotated. The transcript is spliced from 9 exons. NCBI's taxonomy places the organism in Eukaryota, Viridiplantae, Streptophyta, Magnoliopsida, Cucurbitales, Cucurbitaceae. The record is from RefSeq and is a predicted model, not a curated record.